RNAcentral lists this ribosomal RNA (443 nucleotides) under uncultured bacterium. Its description in RNAcentral is "partial 16S ribosomal RNA". It matches the Rfam family "Bacterial small subunit ribosomal RNA", at positions 338 to 795 of the family's 1533-position model. The record is from RNAcentral.
CCUACGGGAGGCAGCAGUGGGGAAUAUUGGGCAAUGGGCGCAAGCCUGACCCAGCAACGCCGCGUGAAGGAAGAAGGCUUUCGGGUUGUAAACUUCUUUUCUCAGGGACGAAGAAAGUGACGGUACCUGAGGAAUAAGCGACGGCUAACUACGUGCCAGCAGCCGCGGUAAUACGGAGGGGGCAGGCGUUAGGCGGAUUUGUUGGGUGUAAGGGGCGAGUAGGCGGGAGCGGAAGUCAGAUGUGAAAGCCCGGGGCUCAACCGUGGGACUGCAUUUGAAACUGUGUUUCUUGAGUGCUGGAGAGGCAAUCGGAAUUCCGGGUGUAGCGGUGAAAUGCGUAGAUAUACGGAGGAACACCAGUGGCGAAGGCGGAUUGCUGGACAGUAACUGACGCUGAGGCGCGAAAGCGUGGGGAGCAAACAGGAUUAGAUACCCCAGUAGUC